GAUGAACGCUGGCGGCGUGCCUAAUACAUGCAAGUCGAGCGAACCACUUCGGUGGUGAGCGGCGAACGGGUGAGUAACACGCAGGUGAUCUGCCCAUCAGACGGGGACAACGAUUGGAAACGAUCGCUAAUACCGGAUAGGACGAAAGUUUAAAGGUGCUUCUGGCACCGCUGGUGGAUGAGCCUGCGGCGCAUUAGCUAGUUGGUAGGGUAAAGGCCUACCAAGGCGACGAUGCGUAGCCGACCUGAGAGGGUGAACGGCCACUCUGGGACUGAGACACGGCCCAGACUCCUACGGGAGGCAGCAGUAGGGAAUCUUCGGCAAUGGGCGAAAGCCUGACCGAGCAACGCCGCGUGAAUGAUGAAGGCCUUCGGGUUGUAAAAUUCUGUUGUAAGGGAAGAACGACUUUAGUAGGAAAUGGCUAGAGUGUGACGGUACCUUAUGAGAAAGCCACGGCUAACUACGUGCCAGCCGCCGCAGUAA
Molecule: ribosomal RNA, 483 nt
Filed under: uncultured bacterium
Lineage: Bacteria
Description: partial 16S ribosomal RNA
Rfam family: Bacterial small subunit ribosomal RNA
Source: RNAcentral